This 253-nucleotide ribosomal RNA is filed under the name uncultured bacterium. RNAcentral describes it as "partial 16S ribosomal RNA". It matches the Rfam family "Bacterial small subunit ribosomal RNA", at positions 524 to 776 of the family's 1533-position model. The record is from RNAcentral.
UACGAAGGGGGCUAGCGUUGUUCGGAUUUAUUGGGCGUAAAGCGCGCGCAGGCGGCUAGUUAAGUCAGAUGUGAAAGGCUGCGGCUCAACCGCAGAGCUGCAUCUGAAACUGAUUAGCUUGAGUGCAGGAGAGGAUAGUGGAAUUCCCGGUGUAGCGGUGGAAUGCGUAGAGAUCGGGAGGAACACCAGUGGCGAAGGCGACUGUCUGGACUGUAACUGACGCUGAGGCGCGAAAGCGUGGGGAGCAAACAGG